RNAcentral lists this ribosomal RNA (400 nucleotides) under uncultured bacterium. Its description in RNAcentral is "bacterial SSU rRNA". It matches the Rfam family "Bacterial small subunit ribosomal RNA", at positions 355 to 746 of the family's 1533-position model. The record is from RNAcentral.
UGGGGAAUUUUGGACAAUGGGCGAAAGCCUGAUCCAGCCAUACCGCGUGCGGGAAGAAGGCCUUCGGGUUGUAAACCGCUUUUGUCAGGGAAGAAAUCCUGUUUGUGAAUAGCGGAUAGGGAUGACGGUAUCGAAAGAAUAAGCACCGGCUAACUUCGUGCCAGCAGCCGCGGCAAUACGAAGGGUGCAAGCGUUAAUCGGAAUUACUGGGCGUAAAGCGUGCGUAGAUGGCUUUUUAAGUCGACUGUGAAACCCCUGGGCUCAACCUGGGACGUGCAGUCGAUACUGAGGAGCUUGGAGUCUGAGAGAGGGUGGUGGAAUUCCUGGUGUAGCGGUGAAAUGCGUAGAGAUCAGGAGGAACACUAGUGGCGAAGGCGGCCACCUGGCUUAAGACUGACGU